GUUUAAGUCAGGCGGAGAACAUCGGAAGUUUGCGAAGUAAACGCUCAGUAGCCUAAACGCUGUCAUUUAACCAAGCCUUUGUCUGUUUGUUGGAUUUCACUGAUUUACGGAUAUACUGCCUGUUUCGGAUUCCGAUUUCCUGGCUAGCCCCGUUUGGAUUGUUCGCCUGGACUUCGUCUGUUUUUUCGGAUCUCGUCUUCAAUUUGAUCCUCAUCUUCCUGUUACUGCACCGCCCGUGCUUGUCUCCUCACGAGGCAAAGCAAACCAAGAUCAAAAAGACAGCCAGGGACCAGAUGUUACAAAACCUAAAGACUUCCCUUUCUCAGAACAGGACCCUAGCCACACAAUAUCACCACACCAGUUCUGAGGAUGAAUUUCCACAACGUCAUGGUUUCUGAUGAUGCCACAAACAUGGGGAGCCCACAACAUCCUGGCAUUGGCAAUGAUUCAGAUAAAGAGUUAGGUUUAUCCUCAAACCAGAGUACUGUUAAAUACAGUGUAUGUGAGUGCACACCUGUGUAAUAACAAAUAUAAGAAAAUCCAUCCAUCCACCCAUCUUCUACCGCUUACUACUUCUUCAG
Long non-coding RNA from Ictalurus punctatus (channel catfish), 581 nucleotides. The record is from Ensembl. NCBI's taxonomy places the organism in Eukaryota, Metazoa, Chordata, Actinopteri, Siluriformes, Ictaluridae.